RNAcentral lists this ribosomal RNA (492 nucleotides) under uncultured bacterium. Its description in RNAcentral is "partial 16S ribosomal RNA". It matches the Rfam family "Bacterial small subunit ribosomal RNA", at positions 29 to 507 of the family's 1533-position model. The record is from RNAcentral.
AGUGAACGCUGGCGGUAGGCCUAACACAUGCAAGUCGAACGGCAGCACAGUAAGAGCUUGCUCUUACGGGUGGCGAGUGGCGGACGGGUGAGGAAUACAUCGGAAUCUACUUUUUCGUGGGGGAUAACGUAGGGAAACUUACGCUAAUACCGCAUACGACCUACGGGUGAAAGCAGGGGAUCUUCGGACCUUGCGCGAUUGAAUGAGCCGAUGUCGGAUUAGCUAGUUGGCGGGGUAAAGGCCCACCAAGGCGACGAUCCGUAGCUGGUCUGAGAGGAUGAUCAGCCACACUGGAACUGAGACACGGUCCAGACUCCUACGGGAGGCAGCAGUGGGGGAUAUUGGACAAUGGGCGCAAGCCUGAUCCAGCCAUACCGCGUGGGUGAAGAAGGCCUUCGGGUUGUAAAGCCCUUUUGUUGGGAAAGAAAAGCAGCAGGUUAAUACCCCGCCGUUCUGACGGUACCCAAAGAAUAAGCACCGGCUAACUUCGUG